GCACCUCAUAAAGCGGGUGCCGGGAUUGGCGUCCUGGAAUUAAUAUCGGCGACAACCGCGCUCAUGCGGUUUUUUA
This 76-nucleotide small RNA is filed under the name Salmonella enterica subsp. enterica serovar Typhimurium. Its description in RNAcentral is "isrK". It matches the Rfam family "isrK Hfq binding RNA". The record is from RNAcentral. Lineage: Bacteria; Pseudomonadati; Pseudomonadota; Gammaproteobacteria; Enterobacterales; Enterobacteriaceae.